This 459-nucleotide ribosomal RNA is filed under the name uncultured bacterium. RNAcentral's name for it is "partial 16S ribosomal RNA". It matches the Rfam family "Bacterial small subunit ribosomal RNA", at positions 338 to 795 of the family's 1533-position model. The record is from RNAcentral.
CCUACGGGUGGCAGCAGUGAGGAAUAUUGGUCAAUGGCCGAGAGGCUGAACCAGCCAAGUCGCGUGAGGGAAGACUGCCCUACGGGUUGUAAACCUCUUUUGUCGAGGAGCAAAGAGAGUCACGUGUGACUCAUUGAGUGUACCCGAAGAAAAAGCAUCGGCUAACUCCGUGCCAGCAGCCGCGGUAAUACGGAGGAUGCGAGCGUUAUCCUGAUUUAUUGGGUUUAAAGGGUGGGCAGGCGGUGGUGAAAGUCAGUGGUCAAAUUGGGGGGCUCAACCCCGUACUGCCGUUGAAACUGGAUGCCUUGAGUGCGGGAGAGGUAUGCGGAAUGCGUGGUGUAGCGGUGAAAUGCAUAGAUAUCACGCAGAACUCCGAUUGCGAAGGCAGCAUACCGGCGCGCAACUGACGCUCAUGCACGAAAGCGUGGGUAUCGAACAGGAUUAGAUACCCGGGUAGUC